This is a non-coding RNA of Callithrix jacchus (white-tufted-ear marmoset), 7083 nucleotides long. Lineage: Eukaryota; Metazoa; Chordata; Mammalia; Primates; Cebidae. The record is from RefSeq and is a predicted model, not a curated record.
GUCUGUGGACAGAGAAGGCUGGGCAGUGAGGCUGCCUCCCAGACCGGCCAGCAUCUCUCCCCUGGAGACCACAGUGUGCUGAGAAGAAGGGGUUUCUGCACAAGGGUCCCCUCCCUCAUCCCCUGGGGUGGGACCCUGGCAGAGCCCAGGGUCUGAUGGUCACCCUGGACUCCAGCCCCACACAGGGCUGGUCACAGGACACAAGGACAGAGCACCAAGGAAAAGCACAGCCCCACAGCGGCUGGGGGUCACCUUGAAGUGGGGCCAUCCCGAGUCCAUGUUACUGUGUGACCCAGCAGCCUAGGCCACGCCCUGCGGCCCCACUCGCUACCUUCGGACACAAAGCGGACAUUCUCCUCGUGGGCCAGUGUGAAGGGAGGAGACAGACAUCGUUGGUGCCUGCCCCGGGCCCGGUGCUGCCUGGCACCCCUGAGCCAGCUCACUGUCCCCAGACCCGGCCAGCCUACGCACUUCCUGAACCAGAGAGAGCAGCAGCCGGUGGCCCAGGCCUCUCUCCUGCAGGCCCCCCACGGUCAGCAGCUCAGCUUACACCUGCAGCCCUUCACCCUGAGGGAAGUGAGUGACUGUGGGGGCCCCGAUCUUUGUGUCCCAGACCCCUGGUCGGGCCACACUCAGUACCUGUGCUGCCACCUGCAACGCACCAGCAGCUUCAUUUCUGACCUUGGCCAUGACCAGGUCUGUCUGUCCCAACCCCCCACUCUGGGUACAGUUCUAGGCCACCUUCUUGACCCACAGAAGUGCCUCCAUCUCCGUGACGUUUCCCUCCGUGGACAAAUGCACCUGAACGGGAAUGGGGGGCCUUUGCCAGUGCCUCUCCCUGGCUCCCCCCAGGCCUCACGGGCUGAGCACAGGGUGCUGGUAUGGACAGUCUCCCAUGGGGGAGAGUGACUACGACCCUCACCCACGCCCCAAGGGCCCGAGACAAGGGGUGAUGCAGAAGGAGAUGGCUCCCGCGGUGCUACACGCAACGGCUAGCAGGCCCCUGGGCCUGUCCCGGCCAGGCGGCCCCAGGUGGCCAAACCUUGAGCACACAGAGCCCGGGACAGGGCCAUGGAGGGAAUGGGGCCCGCACCUACAGCCGGAGGUGGGAGCCGGGAGUCCUGGGCUGUGCCUGCCGCUCCGCCAGGCACUCGCGGUCCCGGCCGGCCUGCUUGCCUUCCUGGGCUCAGCUGCCCCGGCGCCGCUCUGGGUUCCUCCUCAGGUGAGAGGGGCACUAAAAUAAAGAGGAGCGUCUUGAGGGGCACAGGGUCCCUCCGGCCCCGGGGCUGGCAGGGUCUGGUGGUUGCAGAGGAUCUUAAAAUGUGCAAGUGGAGAUAGGAUGGGGGCAGGGGCACCUCCCAGGCCUGCCUACUGCCUGAGUUUCUGCACAAACCAGAGGGAAUACACUGCGUCCAUUUGGAAAGCCCCCUUGCCUACAACUCACUCCCACCCGGAAGGCUGAAAACUCCAAGAAAGCUUGGAGGUCGGAUUACCAAGGCAUAAGAACAGGAAAUUGCCAGGGGCUGCGAAGUGCAGCGGGAGGUGGGGCUGAGAUGGGCCCCAGGAGGCACCGCCCCAGGGGCUCUGGUUACGUAAGGUCUCUGGCUGCUCUCUGGGGUAAAGGGCACCCGCCAACCUCUCCCACUUCCAGGAACACUGCUCCAGGCAAACUUGAGCCCAGGGAGCCAGUGUGGGCAUUCUCUCUAUCCCCUCCACACCCACCCCUCUUCAGCCCACCAGGUGGGCUCGGGAGAGAAUCGUCCUGACCAUGUCACAUGCUGAGCAGCACCAGGAAAUCACAGCAAGUCCAACAAGAGUCCACACCCUGACCCAGCACAGCCCCAAGCCAGCCCCCUGGCCUGGCCUGCCCUCACCGGACCCAGACCCCCUGCCUCAGGCGGGCUGCCCCUUCUGGCCCUGUGGGGUUUAUCCCACUGUCCCUUCCUAUGGCAGCCCCCCAUGCCCCCCAUACGCCCUGCAGGCGGGUGAUCACCUGCUACUUGAUUCCUAUCGCCUCAGUUUAUCUUACUGUCUCUCCCACCAGGAGGAAGAACUUGUCAAAGGCGUAUCCGGGACUGGAGCAGUGUGGCUCACGCCUAUAAUCCCAGCACUUUGGAUUGCCUGAGGGCAGGAGUUCAAGACCAGCCUGGCCAACAUGGUGAAACCCUGUCUCUACUAACAAUACAAAAAUUAGCCAGGCAUGGUGGCAGUGCCCAGACCUGUGCCUGGCAGGAACUGGAGCCAGCACACAUGGUGGGUGACAAGCCUUGACCCUCCACGUGCACCAGGGACCUCACAUCCCACUCCCGAGACCCGUCAGUGAGGGGUGAGGAGCAGCAAAGGGUACCAAGAAGAACAGGCAUGGCAGGCCGGGAGCAGAGGCCACACCUGUAAUCCCAGCACUUCCAGAGGCCAAGGCGAGACCCAGGAGUUAAAUACUAGCCUGGGCAACACAGUGAGACCCCUGUCUGCAUAAAACUUAAAAAUUAGCCAGGUGUGGUGGUGCUGGCCUGUUGUACCAGCUACUCAGGACGUUGAGAGGUGGGAGGAUCGCUUGAGCCUGGGAGGUUGAGGCUGCACUGAGCCACGACUGCACCACUGCACCCACCCUGGGUGACAGAGCAAGACCUUGUCUCAGAAAGAAAAAUAAAUGAAGUAAAAGGCAGGGAGGUGGGUAGCAGCAUGGGGUGGGACAGUUCAGAGGAAGGUGGUGGCCCCAAGAAGGUGCAGGAGCAGGGCGGGGGCUUCAUGCAGAUGCCCCACUGCUGCCAGAGGCAGCCAGAAGCUGCCGGCACUGGGACCUAGGGGUGGGAAGGUGGGUGACCCCAAGAAGAGGACAGCACAUACCCUGCCCUGCCCAGGGCACCUCCAGCCCCGCUGCACAUGGGGUGAAGCCCCCUCAACCUCCCACAUGUCCCACUAGCUGGAUGACAGAGGUCCUCAGAUGGGGGCUUUAAGAGACAACAGGCUGGGUGCAGUGGCUCACCCCUGUAAUCCCAGCACUUAGGGAAGCUGAGGUGGGCAGAUCACAAGGUCAGGAGAUUGAUACCAUCCUGGCUAACAUGGUGAAACCCUGUUUCUACUAAAAGUACAAAAAUCAGGCUGUGGAGGUGGCUCACACGUGUAAUCUAAGCCCUUUGGGAGGCCGAGGCCGGUGGAUCACCUGAGGUCAGGAGUUGCAGACCAGCCUGACCAACAUGGUGAAACCCCCUCUCUACAAAAAUUAGACAGGCAUGGUGGUUCGUGCCUGUAAUCCCAGCUACUUGGCAGGCUGAGGCAGGAGAAUCGCUUGAACCCGGGAGGCAGAGAUUGCAGUGAGCUGAGAUCGUGCCACUGCACUCCAGCCUGGGCAGCGAGAUUGAAAUUCCAACUCAAAAAAAAAAAAUGAGACGACAGCCAGUGGACCUGGCAUUGCCCACGGGGACCCUUGGGGUACCAUGAAGAACUCGGGGAAGCGUUUCCAUCUUCCCUAACUCCUUGCAACUGUGCCACAGCCUUGCCCCUGCUCUCCCUAGCACUGGGGUCCUGGAGAGGGAAGGAAGGUGGUUCCUUCAGGUUAAGAGAGGGUGUCACCCUGGGCCACUCCAGCCUCAUGAUCCCUGCCUGCCUGGGGGGCCAGGUGGUGGCUGCACACCUCGGUUUCCUCCUUUGGGAGGCAGAGCGGUAGGGAAGAGCAAGCAUGAUCGUCCCAGUUGGGACACCUGGGGCCCACUCACUUCCCACUGGAAGGCACCUCUGGUCUAGGCCACUCACCUCACUAGGAUGGAGUCCCGCAGAGCCCCACCCCGCUGAAGCCUCAAACACUUGUCCCCCCACAGGCUUCCACCUGUGCCACCUGAGGCCAGGAAACUGAGACGUGGGGGAGGAAGGCUGAGGGAGGCUCGGCACCCCCCACCUGUCGCUGCCCUGAACUCCUGGACUGAGCUCUCCUCCGGCGGCCCUUCCCAGCACCCCAGGCCAGGGCCCUGCCACCUCCAGAAGCCUUCGGGCCGACUUGGGGCCGCAGCAAAGCCCACAGGCCUGGGGGACGCACAGGACAAAUGAAAGGAACGGCGGAGGCGCUGAGCCAGUCACGCGUCCAGCCCCGCGGGGCUGUCCAACCUCUGGGUCACGGUCAGGGGAGGCCACAGUGGCCGGACUGAGGCUCCUGUGGUCUCCCGACCGCACUGGUUUGGGAAAGGCCGAAGCAUCGGCAGGGCAGGAGGCCAGGGCGGAGGAAGGCAGCGGCCCUGCCCGAGGGAAGCACACGCACUUGUGCCCCGCCGAGCUCUGCAAGGACAGAGCCGGGAGACCUUGAGGAGAGGACCGGCGCCCUCCGCGAACCGUGGCCCGGCCUCCAGGUCGCAGGGCGCCCGCAGCCCAAGGUCGUCCGAAGCGCUGGCCUUGGCCGCUGCAGGCCCCCGCGACCCAGGAGCUGGUCGGCUUUUCCCCACCCCGCGCUGGGGGCCGGACCCGGCCAGGUGAGGCGGAAGCGCUGUGGGCAGGACCCGCGCACCCCCCGCCCCGUCCGCAGCACGUGGCCGGCCCGCACUAGCGCUUCACCAAGGUCACCCCGCGCGCCAGGGCGGCCGGCGGGGGAGGGGAGGGGAGGCCGGGCCGGGCCGGGGGCGCGCGCGUCUCACCUCGACAGGGGCCAGGGUCCCGGCGGCUGCGCGAAGGGCUGCGCCCGCGGGGGCUGCGCGGUCGGCGGCGCGGGCUGCCGGCAUUUCAGGAGCUCGCCGAGCCGGCCCUCCACCUGCUGCUGCGUGGGACCUGCGGGCACCGGAGGGCGGUCAGCCCCGGCCCCGGCCCCCCACCCCGGCCCCUGUCCCCGCCCGGCCCCGGCGCACCUGUGCGGCGCUGCGCGACCAGCUUGCUGGGCCCCUUGGUGAUGGUGUACAUGGCGCGCCGCUCCCACACCGCCGCCGGCCCCCGGCCUGAUCCGGCCCCUGUGCCCGGGCUCGCACUUAACGGGCGGCGGGCGCUGCGGGCAGGGGGCGGGUCCGCUACACGCCCCCGGCCCUUAAAGGGCCCGCACGGGCUCGGGCCAACCGCGGCACACGCGGCGGAGGCAGCGCUCCGGCCUUUCGGGAAACUGGCAGGCGGGGGCGGAGCCGGCCACAGCCCCGCCCCGGCCCCCCAGAGGCCCAGGCGGACCCAGCGCCCUGCGCCCGCCCGGGAACGCCGUUGCUGCCUGGAAGUCAGGUAAGUCCCGGGCACCGGACUCGCGGCUGGCGGCGGGGACCCAAGGGCCCUGACCCCAGGGGUCAGCGGCGAUGUGCGAGCCGGGUCCUGGGAGGCUCGGGGCCCACUUUUGACGGGCGCUGGAGGAGAACCUGUGCUGGGGGGGUCCCUAUGCUGGGGGGUCCCAGUAUUGGGGGGCUCUGUGCUGGGGGAUCCCCGUAUUGGGGGCUCUGUGCUGGGGGUCCCUGUGUUGGGGAGACUGCCGGGGAUCCCUGUGUUGGGGGGGGCUCUGUGCUGGGGGUCCCUGUGUUGGGGGGGGCUCUGUGCUGGGGGUCCCUGUGUUGGGGGGGCUCUGUGCUGGGGAUCCCUGUGUUGGGGGGCUCUGUGCUGGGGAUCCCUGUGUUGGGGGGCUCUGUGCUGGGGGUCCCUGUGUUGGGGAGACUGCCGGGGAUCCCUGUGUUGGGGGGGCUCUGUGCUGGGGAUCCCUGUGUUGGGGGGCUCUGUGCUGGGGGUCCCUGUGUUGGGGGGUCUCUGUGCUGGGGGUCCCUGUGUUGGGGGGACUCUGUGCUGGGGGGUCCCUGUGUUGGGGGGGCUCUGUGCUGGGGGUCUGCUCAGUGCUGCGGAUCUCUGUACUGGGGUCACUGUGCUGGGGGCUCUGUGCUGGGAGCUCUGUGUUAAGGGGCUCUGUGCUUAGGGGGGUGUCCGUGGGAGCUCUAUACUGGGGGACUCUGCUGGGGGGCUCUGUGCUCGGCUGCUCUGUGCAGGGGCUGGAGACAAGGGCUUACCACUCAUACAUGGGGAGCCUCAGCCAAGGUGUCUGCAGAGGCCAGGGCCAGUGUGAAGGGUCACCCUUGGCUUGGGUCUUGGGGCUGGGUCUAAGUACAGAUAAAGAGGCUCAUCCCCCUGGACUUGAACAGAGACUCGAUGCCCUGGGAUCUCCCUUCCACCCCGGGGGUCAACCCUGGCUGCACUCUGCCCCCAUCCUGGCCCCCAUGCUCAGGUGCAUCCAGAGGCCACAUGUGUGUCUCUGUGGCCCUCGGGGGCUCCUGUACCUGCCCCAGAGACGUGAGAGUGUGGCAGGCCAGGUGUCAUUAACACAGGCCUCCAUAACAAUUGUUUCAGUACAGAGUCGUUUAGUUAAAUAUUAAAAGCUUAAAAAGCUGUCCAGGGACUGGUGGCUCAUGCCCAUAAUCCCAGCACACUGGGAGGCUGAGGCUUGUGGAUCACCUAAGGCCAGGAGUUCAAGACCAGCCUGGUCAACAUGGUGAAACCCCAUCUCUACCAAAAAUACAAAAAAUUAGCUGGACGCGUGCCUAUAAUCCCAGCUACUCAGGAAGCUGAAGCAGGAGAAUUGCCUGAACCCAGGAGGCAGAGGUUGCGGUGAGCCGAGAUCAUGACAUUGCACUUCAGCCUGGGUAACAGAGUGAGACUCCAUCUAAAAAAAAAAAAAUACAAAAGUUAUCCAGGUGUAGUGGUGUGUGCCUGUAAUCCCACCUACCCAGGAGGCUGAGGCAGGAGAAUCGCUUGAACCGAGGGGGUCGGGGCUGCAGUGAGCUGAGAUCACAUGACUGCACUCCACUCUGCGCGAAAGAGCAAGACUCAGUCUCUGAACUGAAAAAAAAAAAAAAAAAAAAGCCUGAGGCCAGGCACAGUGGCUCACGCCUGUAAUCCCAGCACUUUGGCAGGCUGAGGUGGGCAGAUCACAAGGUCCAGAGUUCGAGACCAGCCUGACCAACAUGGUGAAACCCCAUCUCUACUAAAAAUACAAAAAUGAGCCAGGUGUGGUGGCGCUCACCUGUAAUCCCAGCUACUCAGGAGGUAGAGGCAGGAGAAUCACUUGAACUCAGGAGGCGGAGGCUGCGGUCAGCCUAGACGGUGCCACUGCACUCCAGCCUGGGUGACAGAGUGAGAGUCUGUCUC